AUUGCAGUAUUUCUUGUUGUUGUGUGCUAUUAAAAAUGUGAAUUACUGUUUAUAUAUAUUGUAAAUACACAAUGUCAUUCAGCAGAUCGCAUUAGAAUAAAUUAAUAACUUGGAUUAUAAAGAUCUUUAAAUUGCAAUAUUUUAUGUUUUUCAGCUGUGCUCAAUGAAUGAAUACAAGCCACCGAUCUCCAAAGCAAAGAUGACCCAGAUUACAAAAUUGGCAAUUAAAACUAUAAAGUUCUACAAGCAUGUCGUCCAAAGUGUGGAGAAAUUCAUUCAGAAGGUCAGUUGUUAUUCUCUUGCAAAUGCAAAAUAAACUAUCAGAUAUUUGAAAGUUUGGAAAUG
RNAcentral lists this long non-coding RNA (345 nucleotides) under Sinocyclocheilus grahami. Its description in RNAcentral is "lncRNA (ENSSGRG00000018644.1)". The record is from RNAcentral. Lineage: Eukaryota; Metazoa; Chordata; Actinopteri; Cypriniformes; Cyprinidae.